RNAcentral lists this ribosomal RNA (491 nucleotides) under uncultured bacterium. Its description in RNAcentral is "bacterial SSU rRNA". It matches the Rfam family "Bacterial small subunit ribosomal RNA", at positions 29 to 509 of the family's 1533-position model. The record is from RNAcentral.
AUGAACGCUAGCGACAGGCUUAACACAUGCAAGUCGAGGGGCAGCAUAGGCAGUAGCAAUACCGCCUGAUGGCGACCGGCGCACUGGUGAGUAACACGUAUGCAACCUGCCACUUACAGGGGGAUAACCCAGAGAAAUUUGGCCUAAUACCCCAUAACACUCUUCGUGGCAUCGCGUAGAGUUGAAAGAAGCGAUUCGGUAAGUGAUGGGCAUGCGGCGCAUUAGAUGGUCGGUGAGGUAACGGCUCACCGAGUCAGCGAUGCGUAGGGGUUCUGAGAGGAAGGUCCCCCACACUGGUACUGAGACACGGACCAGACUCCUACGGGAGGCAGCAGUGAGGAAUAUUGGUCAAUGGACGGAAGUCUGAACCAGCCAAGUCGCGUGAGGGAAGACGGCCCUAUGGGUUGUAAACCUCUUUUGUCGGGGAGUAAAGUGAGCCACGCGUGGCUUAUUGCGAGUACCCGAAGAAAAGCAUCGGCUAACUCCGUGCC